AAGGACUGUUUCUAGCAACACCAAGAGCACUGGGACCCUAUCAAGCAAAAGCAUCACAUCUGUCUUCACACAACCCCUGCUCUGCUCUGACCUGGGAUGGACGACGCAGGACACCGGAACCACUACACUCGCAUUUCCAGACCCCACCUCAGGUUAAAAUCAAAUCUAAAAAUCUCAGCCUUCACCUGACCUCUCUGAGAUGCUUCCUCUCUGUACCUUCCUAAGUGCACUGCAUUAAUUAACUUGUAACUUUUGUAUAUUUCUUGGUUAUGGGUAAAAUCUCUUUACCACUGGUGCCACCAGCCUCUCACACACCAUACCUCCCACAGGGCACUAACGACUUAGGGAGACUCAGUCUCUCAAAAAAAAAAAAAAAAAAAAAAAGAUACUAAAAAUGUAUUUAUCAGACCCCAGUGCUACUGACAUUUGGGGCUGGAUCCUUGUUAGUUUGUUAGGGGGACUAACUAUCCUGUAGGACAGAGGUAGGAUAUUUUGCAGUGCCUCUUGCCAUUACCCUAGAGAUUUUUCAGUUGUCUCUGUGUGGCUUUUUGUUUGUUUGUUUGUUUGUUUGUUUGUUUUUUGAGACAGGGUCUCACUAUAUAGUUGAGACUGACCUGGAACUCUCACUAUGUAGUCCAGGCUGGUUCUCGAACUCACAGCGAUCCUCCUGCCUCAGCCUCCAGAGCUGGGAUUAUAGGUGUGCGCCACCACACCCGGCUUUUUAGUUGUCUCUGUACAUCACCAGAUAUCCCUGGCUGGCAACAUUGCCUCCUGUUAAGGACAAGUCCCCCUCUGUGACAUUCUCCCACGGGGCAACCUGACAAUUGGAUUGUUCAGUCAGAACAAACCCAAACUCAGUCUGCUUCUGCGAGCUUCUCUGCCUGCGUGCCUCAGUCUCGCCUCUGACUUGGCGGAGUGGGCUCCAAGCCAUCUCGAGGGCCCUGCCUGCCCUGGGCUUGCUUCCCCCAUGCCCUGCUCACGAAAGAGGCCCCAAGGCCAGGUCAAUGUGCCCGGCGCCCACGCCUGCCACAGCCCACCAAGCUCCUCCACGGCUUCUAGUCAAGAACCACACCCUUCCACAGGAGAAGCAGACGUAAAAUAUGAGGGAAAUAGGUGUGCACUGUCUCCCAGAAGAGCUCCGAAGGCAGAGGAAGGGACAAGAGGCAUCGCAGCCACGAAACACCAGCAGACUGUUUCAAAAUUGUCUGCCCUUGUCCUGUUUCUAUAAGCUUGCUUGCCGCAUCACUAAAGAGACAACUCCCCUUUGACAAACUGUAUAAAAUCUGGAGCUUUUCUUUGUUCAAGGCUCUUCCCUUGGACAUCAGUCUGUUAAACUGGUGUUCACCUAAAAUAAAGUCCUCCUGUUUCCCAUUGGUCUCUCUUGUCUCUUGGAUCCUGCAAAACUCUUAUUCCUAAUCCCUGGAAAAUGAAUGUGACCUGACUUGGAAAAAGGGUUUUCAUACCCAUAAUUCAGGAUCUCGAGAUGAGUUUACCCUGGAUUACUGUGUUGGAAUGACAGGUGUCUAUUGAGAGAUAGAAGAGAACAAGGGAGGACCACAUGAAGGUAGAAACAGAAACUGGCACACGAUGCAGCCCCAAGCCAAAGGGAUCACAGAAGCUGGAAGAUGCAAGGGUUCUCUCCUUCACCCUUCAGUGGAGCAGGGUCACACAAUCUCUCGAUUCUUGUCUUCUGGUCUUCAGAGCUAUGAGAUAAUAUACGCCUCUGUUGUUUCAAGUCUCCAAGUUUGUGAUUAUUUGUUACUGCAGCCAGAAAAAACUAACAUAGCUGCCAAGUUUGUAUUAGUCUGCUCAUUAUGGAAACCCAGCAACUUUCUCAUGUGAUUAUUACACCCACAAGGGCCACAAC
Fukomys damarensis (Damara mole-rat) is the source of this 1867-nucleotide long non-coding RNA. The record is from Ensembl. NCBI's taxonomy places the organism in Eukaryota, Metazoa, Chordata, Mammalia, Rodentia, Bathyergidae.